UCCAAACGGCAGCCAAAGUAAUCGAAACGAUUUUAAUAAUGAGCGUGAUAAUGAGAGUGUGUGGCCCAUUUGUUGCGAAAGUUCUCGGCACCGGAAGAAGUUCGGGGGUCAUGCAUAGAGAUUAGAGCAUGCUCGGGUUAGGUAGGCUUCGGUUAUUCAUAGGUGGAACCCAGUCUAUCUAUUUAAUCUUGCAUCGUCAACCGUCCUAGGCUUCUGGUUCAUGGGUUAUGGGAGCAGAUAGCAAGUGCCAUGCUAAGGUCUCGGUUCGAGCAUGCGAUCAGUGGGGUCUUCUUGACCUUAUGGUGAAGUUGAAAGAAGAAAAAGGAAAGGUCUUCAAGUUGUUAGCAUAGCAAUCAACAUGGAAUUAAUUGCAGAUUCCACGAGUUAGCCCAUUAGUCGGCCGAUGCGAAGACGUUUAAGUUGGCAUGAGCAAAGAUGGCAAACUCGUACUGAGGCCUCCAUCGCUGGGAUUGCACAAGUUAAUGUGGGUUGCUACGGUAAAAUUUCUAUUUUGCCCUUCGUUUCCUAUUUUUGGAGGCUUUGCUCGAGGGUAUAGUAGUUUUUUUCACGCUACAAAUCAGUUUUUGUAAAGUCUAUUAAAGGUGUAUUGAUAUUUGACUUUUGUAGUUCAGUGCAGUCACUGAAUUAUUUUUAAAAAUAAAAUUUUCAUAUAUCUCUUCCAACAUAUUUAAUUGACUCAAUCAAGUCUAUGACUUGCGGGCAGAUUCAGCAUGUGUAGUAGCC
This 744-nucleotide long non-coding RNA is filed under the name Populus trichocarpa (black cottonwood). Its description in RNAcentral is "long non-coding RNA (PTRI_LNC002597)". Lineage: Eukaryota; Viridiplantae; Streptophyta; Magnoliopsida; Malpighiales; Salicaceae. The record is from RNAcentral.